UCCUCGCCCGAGGUGAGGUGCCCGCCGCGGAGGGCGGCGGACCUGGCUCUCCCCCAGCCUUUGGGGAGAGUUUCCCCGCAGCCGCGGGGAGCCGGCCCGGGGGAUGGGGGCUGCGGCGGGCGAGGCUCCCCGGGACACCCUUUCCCCCCGGCCGCCCCCGCCUGAUGGCGGCGACUGCGCGCAGCUGGGCGCGGGUUCCCCUCACGAGCCGGCGCGCUGCCCUGCCCCGCGGCGGUGUUGCUGCCGCUGCGCUUCGUGCUUCCCUCGCUGCCGUCUGCCAAGGUUAUAGUUAAUAUCAGAAUGGCUACCCUGAGCCAGUCCGUCACUACUGGCAGUGGCCGAGCAGAUGCCUGGAAGGUGGCAAGUGCAUGAUGAAUCCUCCUUGGGAAGAUCUCCUUGUUCCAGGGACGUGGGAUACUGGGAGGCCCAGAACCACAUGCGAUGGCUGGAGUAUUUUACAGGAAACCCUACAAGGAUGUUCUACUACAGAGAAGUAAAGACUGCGAGUUAGGACAUCCGUUUGAAAGCACCCCAGAAACAGACCCACUUCAUAAAGCCUGGAUCUGUACUGCUGUCCCCAGGAAGCUCUGGAGCUUCUGAAUUUGAAGAAACAGUAAAAAAGCAGAAGUCCAUACUAGGAGAAAAGCUGUUUUGUAUAAAAUGAUAACCUUGUCAGGAAACAGAAAACAAAAUCCCAUCUGAUCUAAAGCUGUGGAAAACCUUGAACUCACAUGAAAGGCUCACUGGCAGUGUCAGAGAAACAAGAAGAUAAAUGUUAAACUGAUCUUCCAUCCACACGGUGACACCUUAGAGGGUCUGAAAGAAAGUUCCAGUCAAAUCCACAUGCAUUCAGAAUUUGCUGGACCGAGAAGGACAAGAGAAAAAAAAAGAGAGAAAAGUACAGAAUGAUGACUAUGCACAUAAGUUACGGAAAACAAUAUUGAAGAUAGAUGGAAACUGAAGAAACGUGAACCAGGAGCAUGCCUACUAUAGCAGGAACAACUCUGGGGCAAAAAGAUGUCUCUUCAGGGAACAGGGAAUCAGCUGAAAAUGAAGGAUAAAUAGGAUGGGAAGAGAAGAUGCCUCAAAAUUUAGAAGCCUGAAGGUAGGAAGUUUGCAAAGCAUUUGGUUAAGCUGGGUUUGCCUUUCUGUUAGGGUGGGUGUCAGCCUGCCAGAGCCAUGUUUCUGUAGCUGCCUGCAGGCUGUCACCACCUUGCAGGCAGAGCCCCGUCCAGGGGUGCUGCCUGGUGCAGUGGGGACAGGGACAUUUCCCAGAGUGGGAACACCCGGUGUGCGCCGCACAGAGUGGCAAAACCCCAAAGAAGUACGGCUGUACUCCACCCCUACCACCCCCAAUGCCCCCAGGGACUUAGUUACCUAAACCAGGGCUUAAGUAGGCACUGGGAGGAGUGGAAAAGAACCAAACCACCUUAUUUGCUACCGACCUCCCAAAAAUGUGUAGCUACCAUGUGACAGCAUAAGAUGGCUCCAUUGGAGCUGCAGGCUGCCUCCAGAGAGGCAGGCAGGUGGUGCCCAGCUUUGGGGGGGGCAUAAUGAAACACUAGCAUGUUCUGGGCUCGGGGUGCGACACUGCGUGCCACCACCCCUGUGAGCAGAGCCCAGAAGUGGGGCGUGGGCAGGAGGUCCAGCCCCACCAGCUCCCCAUCCCACCCCAGCAUCAGUAAGGCUGUAGCUCACCCACUGCUGCAGCAUCAGCCUGGGGGCGGGGAGGGGGAGAUCCGUGGCUUAACAGUUGUCGGAUCAGAGGGCAUCGGCAUUAACACACAAAUGGUGCCGUGCAUAUACAGAGGCAGGAAACAUGCACACAGCAUUAUUUCAGUUAUCAAUGCGUAUAAAGAAUAGUAAGACCUAGAAAAGCUCCAGCUUUUUCUUCGUUUAAAUUAAUCAAUAGAUUUAAAUUAUAAAAUUGAUUAAUAAAUAACAAUAUCCACUAUCAAAUUUCUGUAUACGCAAAAACUUGACCAUUAGGGCUAUGACAUGGGAUGGGGUUUUUUUGUGAGCUGGGUUUUGUUGGGAUUUUUUCUACUUUCCUUUCUGUAAAUGUUUUUAGUGCACUACUGAAACAGUUAUAAAAUGCAUCAAAUGUAUUUGUCACCGCCCAGGAGGCUGGCUGUGGGCUGGGGGGGUGCCGGCCUGCACCCUCACCCAUCGGGACGCAGGUAACGCAGCAGCUGGGUUGUGCUGUGACUCAAUAAUCACCCUUUUCUCUUUUGUUUUUUCCCUCCUGUCUCUAUCGUUGCUUGCUUCACGUGGCAGCGCCAUACCCCAGGCAGUACCUCCCCAGUGCAUGGCACCGCAGCCAUGGGCCCCCCACCCCGGCAUUGCAGCGCUCCCCGGCAGAGGUCUUCUGAAUGGCAGCUGUGGAGCAGGACUGAAGCUACAGCAUGAUCCCGGGAGGAGCUGAUCAUCAAGGAAUAUGCAUCCUGAAAAAAUGGGGUUCUUGGAUAUUUGCAGUUGUAAAAAAAGAGUGAACAUUUUGCUACAAGAUUAUU
Molecule: long non-coding RNA, 2513 nt
Organism: Falco peregrinus (peregrine falcon)
Lineage: Eukaryota; Metazoa; Chordata; Aves; Falconiformes; Falconidae
Exons: 9
Source: RefSeq, a predicted model, not a curated record